RNAcentral lists this ribosomal RNA (120 nucleotides) under Acinetobacter baumannii. RNAcentral describes it as "partial 16S ribosomal RNA". It matches the Rfam family "Bacterial small subunit ribosomal RNA", at positions 1419 to 1533 of the family's 1533-position model. Lineage: Bacteria; Pseudomonadati; Pseudomonadota; Gammaproteobacteria; Moraxellales; Moraxellaceae. The record is from RNAcentral.
ACCAGAAGUAGCUAGCCUAACUGCAAAGAGGGCGGUUACCACGGUGUGGCCGAUGACUGGGGUGAAGUCGUAACAAGGUAGCCGUAGGGGAACCUGCGGCUGGAUCACCUCCUUAACGAA